This 658-nucleotide ribosomal RNA is filed under the name Termitomyces sp. Group6. Its description in RNAcentral is "eukaryotic LSU rRNA". It matches the Rfam family "Eukaryotic large subunit ribosomal RNA", at positions 1 to 651 of the family's 3401-position model. The record is from RNAcentral. Lineage: Eukaryota; Fungi; Basidiomycota; Agaricomycetes; Agaricales; Lyophyllaceae.
UUGACCUCAAAUCAGGUAGGACUACCCGCUGAACUUAAGCAUAUCAAUAAGCGGAGGAAAAGAAACUAACAAGGAUUCCCCUAGUAACUGCGAGUGAAGCGGGAAAAGCUCAAAUUUAAAAUCUGGCUAGCUUCGCUGCCCGAGUUGUAAUCUAGAGAAGCAUUAUCAGCGCUCGCGGCGUGUAUAAGUGUCCUGGAAUGGACCAUCAUAGAGGGUGACAAUCCCGUCUUUGACACGGCUGCCUUUAGUGCUAUUGAUGUGCUCUCAACGAGUCGAGUUGUUUGGGAAUGCAGCUCUAAAUGGGUGGUAAGUUCCACCUAAAGCUAAAUAUUGGCGAGAGACCGAUAGCGAACAAGUACCGUGAGGGAAAGAUGAAAAGAACUUUGGAAAGAGAGUUAAACAGUACGUGAAAUUGCUGAAAGGGAAACGCUUGAAGUCGGUCGCGUUGGUUGGGUAAUCGAGAAAUCAACCUUGCUUUCUAAAAGCUUGGCUUAUUUCCCAGCUGACGGGCCAGCAUCAGUUUUGACCGGUGGAUAAAGGCCAAGGGAAUGUGGCACCUCUUGGGUGUGUUAUAGCCCUCGGUCAUAUACAUCGGUUGGGACUGAGGAACUCAGCACUUGUUGCUUAGGAUGCUGGCAUAAAGGCUUUAAGCGACCCG